Balaenoptera acutorostrata (minke whale) is the source of this 5967-nucleotide long non-coding RNA. RefSeq lists it as uncharacterized. The record is from RefSeq and is a predicted model, not a curated record. The transcript has 3 exons. Lineage: Eukaryota; Metazoa; Chordata; Mammalia; Artiodactyla; Balaenopteridae.
AGUGGGCAUGGUGGAAGGAAUGGAAACUAUGUAUGGGCUCCUUCUCCCAAAGCCCAGUCUAGUUACUGCCACUUCUUAAUGUCUACCAGCAGCAAGACAGAGCCUGUGGGGAGCACCAUUCUUUGAAGCAACCAGCAACUUGAGGGCUGAUGAAUUACAUUGGAACUCAUCUCCUUAAGGAUAAACAAUGUCUCCUUACCAGAAUCUAAGAGACGAAUUAGCCAAGAGAAGAUGAGAGAGAUAUUCCAGAUGGUAGUACCAAUAUGAGAGGAUGCCUAAAGGUCCUAAGAGUGGAACUGAAUUGGACUGAAUUCUACCUGCAGUCUGGCAAUGAGAAGAUGAGGGAAUCUGUGAAGUUUUUGGUGUUGUCUUCGAGGUUCCCAGCCUUCCAUUUAUGUUCUUCUUUCCUCGUCUCAAUGCCAUGUGGUUGACAGGGUCUUGGUGCUCCAGCCGGCUGUCAGACCUGUGCCUCUGAGAUGGGAGAGCCGAGUUCAAGACAUUGGUUCACUAGAGACCUCCCGGCUCCAUGUAAUAUCAAACAGCAAAGGUUUUUCCAUCUCAACGCUAAGACUCAGCUCCACUCAAUGACCAGCAAGCUAUAGUGCUGGACACCCUAUGCCAAAAAACUAGCAAGACAGGAACACAACCCCACCCAUUAGCUGAGAGGCUGCCUAAAAUCAUAAUAAGGUCACAGACACCCCAAAACACACCACUGGACAUGGUCCUGCCCACCACAAAGACAAGAUCCAGCCUCAUCCACCAGAACACAGGCACCAGUCCCCUCCACCAGGAAGCCUACAAAACUCACUGAAUCAACCUCACCGACUGGGGGCAGACACCAAAAACAACGGGAACUAUGAACCUGCAGCCUGAAAAAAGGAGACCCCAAACACAGUAAGUUAAACAAAAUGAGAAGACAGAGAAACACACAGCAGAUGAAGGAGCAAGGUAAAAAACCACCAAACCAAACAAAUGAAGAAGAAAUAGGCAGUCUACCUGAAACAGAAUUCACAGUAAUGAUAGUAAAGAUGAUCCAAAAUCUUGGAAAUAAAAUGGAGAAAAUACAAGAAACAUUUAACAAGGACCUAGAAGAACUAAAGAGCAAACAAAUAAUGAUGAACAACACAAUAAAUGAAAUUAAAAAUUCUCUAGAAGGAAUCAAUAGCAGAAUACCUGAGGCACAAGAACGGAUAAGUGACCUGGAAGAUAAAAUAGUAGAAAUAACUACUGCAGAACAGAAUAAAGAAACAAGAAUGAAAAGAAUUGAGAACAGUCUUAGAGACAUCUGGGACAACAUUAAAUACACCAACAUUCAAAUUAUAGGAGUCCCAGAAGAAGAAGAGAAAAAGAAAGGGACUGAGAAAAUAUUUGAAGAGAUUAUAGUUGAAAACUUCCCUAAUAUGGGAAAGGAAAUAGUCAAUCAACUCCAGGAAGCGCAGAGAGUCCCAUACAGGAUAAAUCUAACACGAAACACGCCAAGACACAUAUUAAUGAAACUAUCAAAAAUUAAAUACAAAGAAAAAAUAUUAAAAGCAGCAAGGGAAAAACAACAAAUAACAUACAAGGGACUCCCCAUAAGGUUAACAGCUGAUCUUUCAGCAGGCACUCUGCAAGCCAGAAGGGAGUGGGAGGACAUAUUUAAACUGAUGAAAGGGAAAAACCUACAACAAAGAUUGCUCUACCCAGAAAGGAUCUCAUUCAGAUUUGACAGACAAAUUAAAAUCUUUACAGACGAGCAAAAGUUAAGAGAAUUCAGCACCACCAAACCAGCUUAACAGAAAUGCUAAAGGAACUUCUCUAGGCAGGAAACACAAGAGAAGGAAAAGACCUACAAUAACAAACCCAAAACAAUUAAGAAAAUGGUAAUAAGAAUAUACAUAUUGAUAACUACCUUAAAUGUCAAUGGAUUAAAUGCUCCAACCAAAAGACAUAGACUGGCUGAAUGGACACAAAAACAUGACCCAUACAGAUGUUGUCUAAAGAGACAACUUCAGACCUAGGGACACAUACAGACUGAAAGUGAGAGGAUGGAAAAAGAUAUUCCAUGCAAAUGGAAAUCAAAAGAGAGCUGGAGUAGCAAUUCUCAUAUCAGACAAAAUAGCCUUUAAAAUAAAGACUAUUGGGCUUCCCUGGUGGCGCAGUGGUUGAGAAUCUGCCUGCCAAUGCAGGGGACACGGGUUCGAGCCCUGGUCUGGGAAGAUCCCACAUGCCGCGGAGCAACUAAGCCCGUGUGCCACAACUACUGAGCCUGCGCGUCAGGAGCCUGUGCUCCACAACAAGAGAGACCGCGAUAGUGAGAGGCCCGUGCACCGCGAUGCAGAGUGGCCCCCACUUGCCGCAACUAGAGGAAGCCCUCGCACAGAAACGAAGACCCAACACAGCCAAUAAAAAAUAAAUAAAUAAAAUUUAAAAAAAAUAAAUAAAAAUAAAAUAAAAUAAAAUAAAGACUAUUAUAAGAGACAAAGAAGGAUACUACAUAAUGAUCAACGGAUCAAUCCAAAAAGAAGAUGUAACAAUUGUAAGUAUUUAUGCAUCCAACAUAGCAGCACCUCAAUACAUAAGGCAAAUGCUAACACCAUAAAAGGGGAAAUCGACAGUAACACAAUAAUAGUAGGAGACUUUAACACCCCACUUUCACCAAUGGACAGAUCAUCCAAAAUGAAAAUAAAUAAGGAAACACAAGCUUUAAAUGAUACAUUAAACAAGAUGGACUUCAUUGAUAUUUAUAGGACAUUCCAACCAAAAACAACAGAUACAUUAUCUUCUCAAGUGCUCAUGGAACAUUCUCCAGGAUAGAUCAUAUCUUGGGUCACAAAUCAAGCCACAGUAAAUUUAAGAAAAUUGAAAUCAUAUCAAGUAUCUUUUCCCAUGACAACGCUAUGAGACUAGAUAUCAAUUACAGGAAAAAAUCUGUAAAAAAUACAAACACAUGGAGGCUAAACAAUACACUACUAAAUAACCAAGAGAUCAUUGAAGAAAUCAAAGAGGAAAUCAAAAAAUACCUAGAAACAAGUGACAAUGAAAAUGCGAAGACCCAAAACCUAUAGGACGUAGCAAAAGCAGUUCUAAGAGGGAAGUUUAUAGCAAUACAAGCCUACCUCAAGAAACAAGAAACAUCUCAAAUAAACAACCUAACCUUACACCUAAAGCAAUUAGAGAAAGAACAAUAAAAAACCCCAAAGUUAGCAGAAGAAAAGAAAUCAUAAAUAUCAGACCAGAAAUAACUGAGAAAGAAAUGAAGAAAACAAUAGCAAAAAUCAAUAAAAUUAAAAGCUGGUUCUUUGAGAAGAUAAACAAAAUUGAUAAACCAUUAGCCAGACUCAUCAAGGAAAAAAGAGAGAAGACUCAAAUCAAUAGAAUCAUAAAUGAAAAAGGAGAAAUAACAACUGACACUGCAGAAAUACAAAGGAUUAUGAGAGCUUACUACAAGCAACUAUAUGCCAAUAAAACGGACAACCUGGAAGAAAUGGACAACUUCUUAGAAAAGCACAACCUUCCAAGACUGAACUAGGAAGAAGUAGAAAAUAUAAACCAGCCAAUCACAAGCACUGAAAUGGAAACUGUGAUUAAAAAGCUUCCAACAAAUGCCCAGGACCAGACGGCUUCACAGGCGAAUUCUAUCAAACAUUUAGAGAAGAACUAAAACCUAUCCUUCUCAAACUCUUCCAAUAUAUAGCAAAGGGAGAAACACUCCCAAACACAUUCUACGAGGCCACCAUCACCCUGAUACCAAAACCAGACAAAGACGUCACAAGGAAAGAAAUCUACACGACAAUAUCACUGAUGAACAUAGAUGCAAAAAUCCUCAACAAAAUACUAGCAAACAGAAUCCAACAGCACAUUAAAAGGAUCAUACACCAUGAUCAAGUGGGGUUUAUCCCAGGAAUGCAAGGAUUCUUCAGUAUAUGCAAAUCAGUCAAUGUGAUACACCAUAUUAACAAAUUGAAGGAGAAACACCAUAUGAUAAUCUCAAUAGAUGCAGAAAAAGCUUUCAACAAAAUUCAACACCAAUUUAUGAUAAAAAACUCUCCAGAAAGUAGACAUAGAGGGAACCUGCCUCAACAUAAUAAAGGCCAUAUGUAACAAACCCACAGCCAACAUCAUUCUCAAUGGUGAAAAACUGAAACCAUUUCCUCUAAGAUCAGGAACAAGACAAGGUUGUCCACUCUCACGACUAUUAUUCAACAUAGUUUUGGAAGUUUUAGCCACAGCAAUCAGAGAAGAAAAAGAAAUAAAAAGAAUCCAAAUUGGAGAAGAAGAAGUAAAGCUGUCACUGUUUUCAUUUGACAUGAUACUAUACACAGAAAAACCUAAAGAUGCUACCAGAAAACUACUAGAGCUAAUCAAUGAAUUUGGGAAAGUAGCAGCAUACAAAAUUAAUGCACAGAAAUCUCUUGCAUUCCUAUACACUAAUGAUGAAAAAUCUGAAAGAGGAAUUAAGGAAACACUCCCAUUUACCACUGCAACAAAAAGAAUAAAAUACCUCAGAAUAAACCUACCUGUGGAGACAAAAGACCUGUAUGCAGAAAACUAUAAGACACUGAUGAAAGAAAUUAAAGAUGAUACAAAUAGAUGGAGAGAUAUACCAUGUUCUUGGAUUGGAAGAGUUAAAAUUGUGAAAAUGACUAUACUACCCAAAGCAAUCUACAGAUUCAAUGCAAUCCCUAUCAAACUACCAAUGACAUUUUUCACAGAACUAGAGCAAAUAAUUUCACAAUUUGUAUGGAAACACAAAAGACCCCGAAUAGCCAAAGCAAUCUUGAGAAAGAAAAAUGGAGCUGGAGGAAUCAGGCUCCCUGACUUCAGACUAUACUACAAAGCUACAGUAAUCAAGACAGUAUGGUACUGGCACAAAAACAGAAAUAUAGAUCAAUGGAACAGGAUAGAAACCCAGAGAUAAACCCACGCACAUACGGUCACCUUAUUUUUGAUAAAGGAGGCAAGAAUAUACAAUGGAGAAAAGACAGCCUCUUCAAUAAGUGGUGCUGGGAAAACUGGACAGCUACAUGUAACAGAAUGAAAUUAGAACACUCCCUAACACCAUACACAAAAAUAAACUCAAAAUGGAUUAAAGACCUAAAUGUAAGGCCAGACACUAUAAAACUCUUAGAGGAAAACAGACGCAGAACACUCUAUGACAUAAAUCACGGCAAGAUCCUUUUUGACCCACCUCCUAGAGAAAUGGAAAUAAAAACAAAAAUAAACAAACGGGACCUAAUGAAACUUAAAAGCUUUUGCACAGCAAAAGAAACCAUAAACUAGAUGAAAAGACAACCCUCAGAAUGGGAGAAAAUACUUGCAAAUGAAUCAACUGAAAAAGGAUUAAUCUUCAAAAUUUAUAAGCAGCUCAUGCAGCUCAAUAUUAGAAAAACAAACAAUCCAAUCCAAAAUGGGCAGAAGACCUAAAUAGACAUUUCUCCAAAGAAGAUAUACAGAUAGCCAACAAACACACGAAAGGAUGCUCAACAUCACUAAUCAUUAGAGAAAUGUAAAUCAAAACUACAAGGAGGUACCACCUCACACGGGUCAGAAUGGCCCUCAUCAAAAAAUCUACAAACAAUAAAUGCUGGAGAGGGUGUGGAGAAAAGGGAACCCUCUUGCACUGUUGGUGGGAAUGUAAAUUGAUACAGCCACUAUGGAGAACAGUAUGGAGGUCCCUUAAAAAACUAAAAAUAGAACUACCAUACGACCCAGCAGUCCCACUUCUGGGCAUAUACCCCGAGAAAACCAUAAUUCAAAAAGAGUUAUGUACCACAAUGUUCACUGCAGCACUAUUUACAACAGUUAGGACAUGGAAGCAACCUAAGUGUCCAUCAACAGAUGAAUGGAUAAAGAUGUGGCACAUAUAUACAAUGGAAUAUUACUCAGCCAUAAAAAGAAACAAAACUGAGUUAUUUGUAGUGAGGUGGAGGGACCUAGAGUCUGUCAUACAGACUGAAGUAAGUCAGAAAGAGAAAAACAAAUACC